RNAcentral lists this ribosomal RNA (253 nucleotides) under uncultured bacterium. Its description in RNAcentral is "partial 16S ribosomal RNA". It matches the Rfam family "Bacterial small subunit ribosomal RNA", at positions 524 to 776 of the family's 1533-position model. The record is from RNAcentral.
GACGGGGGAUGCAAGUGUUAUCCGGAAUCACUGGGCGUAAAGCGUCUGCAGGUGGUUUCCUAAGUCCACUGUUAAACCUUGAGGCUCAACCUCAAAUCUGCAUUGGAAACUAGGAGACUUGAGUAUAGUAGGGGUAGAGGGAAUUUCCAGUGGAGCGGUGAAAUGCGUAGAUAUUGGAAAGAACACCGAUGGCGAAGGCACUCUACUGGGCCAUUACUGACACUCAGAGACGAAAGCUAGGGGAGCAAAUGGG